RNAcentral lists this ribosomal RNA (460 nucleotides) under uncultured bacterium. Its description in RNAcentral is "partial 16S ribosomal RNA". It matches the Rfam family "Bacterial small subunit ribosomal RNA", at positions 338 to 795 of the family's 1533-position model. The record is from RNAcentral.
CCUACGGGUGGCAGCAGUGAGGAAUAUUGGUCAAUGGACGCAAGUCUGAACCAGCCAUGCCGCGUGCAGGAAGACGGCCCUAUGGGUUGUAAACUGCUUUUGUCCGGGGGUAAACGCGGAUACGCGUAUCUGUCUGAAAGUAUCGUACGAAUAAGGAUCUGCUAAAUCCGUGCCAGCAGCCGCGGUAAUACGGGGGAUUCAAGCGUUUUCCGGAUUUAUUGGGUUUAAAGGGUGCGUAGGCAGUAGGAUAAGUUAGGGGUGAAAUCCCGAGGCCCCACUUCGGAAGUGCCGCUGAUACUGGUCGGCUAGAGAGCGGGUGCGGUAGGCGGAAUGUAUGGUGUAGCGGUGAAAUGCUUAGAGAUCACACAGAACACCGAUUGCGAAGGCAGCUUACCAAGCUACUACUGACGCUGAGGCACGAAAGCGUGGGUAUCAAACAGGAUUAGAUACCCUUGUAGUC